UCAAGCUGUUUAGAAAGGAAAUGUGUUUG
Molecule: non-coding RNA, 29 nt
Filed under: Rattus norvegicus (Norway rat)
Lineage: Eukaryota; Metazoa; Chordata; Mammalia; Rodentia; Muridae
Source: RNAcentral